GCGCCGGUGGUGUAAUGGCGUAGAGCAUUCCCGCCCGGUCAGAAGGAGGUGCGGGUUCGAGUCCCGCCUGGCGCU
This is a non-coding RNA of Heligmosomoides polygyrus, 75 nucleotides long. Lineage: Eukaryota; Metazoa; Nematoda; Chromadorea; Rhabditida; Heligmosomidae. The record is from Rfam.